UACGUAGGGCGCAAGCGUUGUCCGGAAUUAUUGGGCGUAAAGAGCUCGUAGGCGGUUUGUCGCGUCUGCUGUGAAAACCUAAGGCUCAACCUUGGGCUUGCAGUGGGUACGGGCAGACUAGAGUGCGGUAGGGGUGACUGGAAUUCCUGUGUAGCGGUGGAAUGCGCAGAUAUCAGGAGGAACACCGAUGGCGAAGGCAGGUCAC
Molecule: ribosomal RNA, 205 nt
Filed under: uncultured bacterium
Lineage: Bacteria
Description: partial 16S ribosomal RNA
Rfam family: Bacterial small subunit ribosomal RNA
Source: RNAcentral